This 372-nucleotide long non-coding RNA is filed under the name Capsella grandiflora. Its description in RNAcentral is "long non-coding RNA (CGRA_LNC001378)". Lineage: Eukaryota; Viridiplantae; Streptophyta; Magnoliopsida; Brassicales; Brassicaceae. The record is from RNAcentral.
UAAUAGCUGCAGGGUCGAUCAACCAAGCUCUGCCUGAACCGCCUAGUUUUCGUCGAUUAGUUAAUGUUUCCAAACGGCUCUAGCCGCCUAAUUUUCUAGUUUUCAUCGAUUAAUAAGUGUUCCAAGUAGACUCGAUUCGUUAAUGUGGCCAAAACUUAUUUAUGCCUUUCAGUCAUGGAUGUACUUUGUUUUCCACCCCCAGCUAAUCUUAUGUAUUUAAUUGUAGUAUGUUAAUGUCCCUCCUUGUGAUUUGUGAAACUUUUUUGGACCAACGAGCUUUUGAACCAACAUGUGAAGAAGAAGAUAUAUAUAUCUUGGUCUAUUUGCUUGUCUUGAGUUUAUUGAAUUUGGAGCAUUUCUCUUGAUGACCAA